GAGGCAGCAGUAGGGAAUAUUGGGCAAUGGAGGCAAUUCUGACCCAGCCAUGCCGCGUGAAGGAAUACAGCCCUACGGGUUUUAAACUUCUUUUAUUAUAGAGUAACCGGAGGUACGUGUACCUCCCUGCAAGUAUAUAAUGAAUAAGGAUCGGCUAACUCCGUGCCAGCAGCCGCGGUAAUACGGAGGAUCCGAGCGUUAUCCGGAUUUAUUGGGUUUAAAGGGUGCGCAGGCUGAUCGAUAAGUCAGGGGUGAAAAAUUUCAGCUUAACUGGAAUCGUGCCUUUGAUACUGUCGGACUAGAGUGUAACUGACGUGACUGGAAUGUGCCGUGUAGCGGUGAAAUGCUUAGAUAUGUCACAGAACGCCAAUCGUGAAGACAGGUCACGAAGUUACUACUGACGCUCAUGCACGAAAGCGUGGGGAUCAAACAGGAUUAGAUACCCUGGUAGUCCACGCUGUAAUCGAUGAUUACUCGUUGUUGGGCAUUUAUGCUCAGUGGCCAAGCGAAAGU
Molecule: ribosomal RNA, 513 nt
Filed under: uncultured bacterium
Lineage: Bacteria
Description: bacterial SSU rRNA
Rfam family: Bacterial small subunit ribosomal RNA
Source: RNAcentral